AGGUCAUUUCAAAGAGGGCUCAUGCAGCUAUGAAUCCAGGAGCUCUUAACUAUAUGAUCAAAGCUUGAAAUUUCUUCAUAGGUUGCUACAGUCACACAAUAGUGUGAAGUUUUUUUUGAGGAGAUAUAAGA
Small nucleolar RNA from Camelus dromedarius (Arabian camel), 131 nucleotides. Lineage: Eukaryota; Metazoa; Chordata; Mammalia; Artiodactyla; Camelidae. The record is from Ensembl.